AACAGCUGCUCUGAGUCGUCCUCCAGACAUGAAUUGUAUGACAGUAAGAGGACCAAGAGCAAAUUUUACGAACAGCCUUGGAAUUUACAGUAGUCUCUGUUGAAUCCAAAUGGACCUUUAUGAUUAGAAAACAUCAUCACGACAAUGGUUGCCACUGCAAGCUUAGAGCCAUUAUUCCCAGCCUAAAAGAUUACACAGUUUAGAUACUGCUUCCCAAACACUUAGAUCAUGGAACAGGCACAUUUCCGCAGGCUUCUUCAGUUCAAAUGUCACAGAUUAGAGAGG
RNAcentral lists this long non-coding RNA (285 nucleotides) under Linum usitatissimum (flax). Its description in RNAcentral is "long non-coding RNA (LUSI_LNC000824)". Lineage: Eukaryota; Viridiplantae; Streptophyta; Magnoliopsida; Malpighiales; Linaceae. The record is from RNAcentral.